This 204-nucleotide unclassified non-coding RNA is filed under the name Glomeraceae sp. Its description in RNAcentral is "partial contains 5.8S ribosomal RNA and internal transcribed spacer 2". The stretch from base 1 to 65 matches the Rfam family "5.8S ribosomal RNA", at positions 84 to 154 of the family's 154-position model. The record is from RNAcentral. Lineage: Eukaryota; Fungi; Glomeromycota; Glomeromycetes; Glomerales; Glomeraceae.
GUGAAUCAUCAAAUCUUUGAACGCAAAUUGCACUCUCCUCGGAGAGUAUGCCUGUUUGAGGGUCAGCCUAUAAAAAAUCGACAUCGUUGCUGUUUCGCGGUGGCGUUCGUCGGCAAUUGGGUCAUCUUAAAUCUUUUGGUCUUAAGCGACUUAAAAUUUUCUUUUUGGUUCCAUGAACGUUUUUAAGCUUUAUUUCUUUAGACG